This 1033-nucleotide ribosomal RNA is filed under the name Lactobacillus helveticus. RNAcentral describes it as "bacterial SSU rRNA". It matches the Rfam family "Bacterial small subunit ribosomal RNA", at positions 446 to 1480 of the family's 1533-position model. The record is from RNAcentral. Lineage: Bacteria; Bacillati; Bacillota; Bacilli; Lactobacillales; Lactobacillaceae.
GGAUAGAAGGUAGUAACUGGCCUUAUUGACGGUAUCACCAGAAGUCACGGCUAACUACGGUGCCAGCAGCGCGGUAAUACGUAGGUGGCAAGCGUUGUCCGGAUUUAUUGGGCGUAAAGCGAGCGCAGGCGGAAGAAUAAGUCUGAUGUGAAAGCCCUCGGCUUAACCGAGGAACUGCAUCGGAAACUGUUUUUCUUGAGUGCAGAAGAGGAGAGUGGAAUUCCAUGUGUAGCGGUGGAAUGCGUAGAUAUAUGGAAGAACACCAGUGGCGAAGGCGACUCUCUGGUCUGCAACUGACGCUGAGGCUCGAAAGCAUGGGUAGCGAACAGGAUUAGAUACCCUGGUAGUCCAUGCCGUAAACGAUGAGUGCUAAGUGUUGGGAGGUUUCCGCCUCUCAGUGCUGCAGCUAACGCAUUAAGCACUCCGCCUGGGGAGUACGACCGCAAGGUUGAAACUCAAAGGAAUUGACGGGGGCCCGCACAAGCGGUGGAGCAUGUGGUUUAAUUCGAAGCAACGCGAAGAACCUUACCAGGUCUUGACAUCUAGUGCCAUCCUAAGAGAUUAGGAGUUCCCUUCGGGGACGCUAAGACAGGUGGUGCAUGGCUGUCGUCAGCUCGUGUCGUGAGAUGUUGGGUUAAGUCCCGCAACGAGCGCAACCCUUGUUAUUAGUUGCCAGCAUUAAGUUGGGCACUCUAAUGAGACUGCCGGUGAUAAACCGGAGGAAGGUGGGGAUGACGUCAAGUCAUCAUGCCCCUUAUGACCUGGGCUACACACGUGCUACAAUGGACAGUACAACGAGAAGCGAGCCUGCGAAGGCAAGCGAAUCUCUGAAAGCUGUUCUCAGUUCGGACUGCAGUCUGCAACUCGACUGCACGAAGCUGGAAUCGCUAGUAAUCGCGGAUCAGAACGCCGCGGUGAAUACGUUCCCGGGCCUUGUACACACCGCCCGUCACACCAUGGAAGUCUGCAAUGCCCAAAGCCGGUGGCCUAACCUUCGGGAAGGAGCCGUCUAAGGCAGGGCAGAUGACUGGGG